This 460-nucleotide ribosomal RNA is filed under the name Triticum dicoccoides. RNAcentral describes it as "rRNA SSU_rRNA_eukarya". It matches the Rfam family "Bacterial small subunit ribosomal RNA", at positions 630 to 1244 of the family's 1533-position model. The record is from RNAcentral. Lineage: Eukaryota; Viridiplantae; Streptophyta; Magnoliopsida; Poales; Poaceae.
UUCUUGGCUGGCUUGAUGCUCAGUCUGACCAAUGGGAUGACCCCCUUUUCUCUACUUUGUUUAGCUUCGUUCUUUGCCUAGCUCAUUUACAGGAAACAAAUAGUCUUUCCCAUCACUCCAAUCUUUACUUAUCUACCUUGGCUUAACUCAUUAACUCCCACGACUGAUGCUGGGGUGCGAAAGCAGGGGGAGCAAACAGGAUUAGAUACCCUGGUAGUCCAUGCCGUAAACAAUGAGUGUUCGCCCUUGGUCUACGCGGAUCAGGGGGCCAGCUAACGCGUGAAACACUCCGCCUGGGGAGUACGGUCGCAAGACCGAAACUCAAAGGAAUUGACGGGGGCCUGCACAAGCGGUGCUUUAGCUAGGAGCCUCUUUUCCUUCUGCCCAGCUCCCCGAAAACAACGUUCGACUUGCAUGUGUUAAGCAUAUAGCACGCGUUCCUUCUGAGCCAGGAUCAAAC